GACGAACGCUGGCGGCGUGCCUAAUACAUGCAAGUCGAACGAGAGCGACCGGUGCUUGCACUGGUCAAUCUAGUGGCGAACGGGUGAGUAACACGUGGGUAACCUGCCCAUCAGAGGGGGAUAACAUCCGGAAACGGAUGCUAAAACCGCAUAGGUCUUCGAGCCGCAUGGCUUGAAGAGGAAAAGGGGCGCAAGCUUCUGCUGAUGGAUGGACCCGCGGUGCAUUAGCUAGUUGGUGAGGUAACGGCUCACCAAGGCCGUGAUGCAUAGCCGACCUGAGAGGGUGAUCGGCCACAUUGGGACUGAGACACGGCCCAAACUCCUACGGGAGGCAGCAGUAGGGAAUCUUCCGCAAUGGGCGCAAGUCUGACGGAGCAACGCCGCGUGAGUGAAGAAGGUUUUCGGAUCGUAAAACUCUGUUGUUAGAGAAGAACAAGUGCUAGAGUAACUGUUAGCGCCUUGACGGUAUCUAACCAGAAAGCCACGGCUAACUACGUG
Molecule: ribosomal RNA, 498 nt
Filed under: uncultured bacterium
Lineage: Bacteria
Description: partial 16S ribosomal RNA
Rfam family: Bacterial small subunit ribosomal RNA
Source: RNAcentral